Long non-coding RNA from Carlito syrichta (Philippine tarsier), 217 nucleotides. RefSeq lists it as uncharacterized. NCBI's taxonomy places the organism in Eukaryota, Metazoa, Chordata, Mammalia, Primates, Tarsiidae. The transcript has 2 exons. The record is from RefSeq and is a predicted model, not a curated record.
GACACCCGAUGUCACAAGACCGUUGUUAAAGUCUCGCUUCUGCUGCACCCCACGUCUCUGUGUGCACCCUUUGAUUUUGGACGGAUGUUCUGGUGCUGGCAGUUGUGUGUAUAUCCCAAGGCACUUGCAACAGAGUUCUCCAGUCUCAGCAAAUACAUCCAGACAAUUGGUGAUUUACGCAGACCAAAUAAAAUACUUAUUUUUUCUUCUAAACACA